UACGGGGGGGGCAAGCGUUGUUCGGAAUUACUGGGCGUAAAGGGCUCGUAGGUGGCCAACUAAGUCAGACGUGAAAUCCCCAGGCUCAACUUGGGAACUGCGUCUGAUACUGGAUGGCUUGAAUUCGGGAGAGGGAUGCAGAAUUCCAGGUGUAGCGGUGAAAUGCGUAGAUAUCUGGAGGAAUACCGGUGGCGAAGGCGGGUAGCUGGGCCAACACUGACGCUAAAGUGCGAAAGCUAGGGGAGCAAACGGG
Molecule: ribosomal RNA, 253 nt
Filed under: uncultured bacterium
Lineage: Bacteria
Description: partial 16S ribosomal RNA
Rfam family: Bacterial small subunit ribosomal RNA
Source: RNAcentral